AGAGUUUGAUCCUGGCUCAGGAUGAACGCUUGCGGCGUGCCUAACACAUGCAAGUCGAACGAAGCGUCUCGAUAUUUUCGGAUGGAGAGAUCACUGAGUGGCGGACGGGUGAGUAACGCGUGGGUAACCUGCCUCACACUGGGGGACAACAGUUAGAAAUGACUGCUAAUACCGCAUAAGCGCACAGUACCGCAUGGUACAGUGUGAAAAACUCCGGUGGUGUGAGAUGGACCCGCGUCUGAUUAGCUGGUUGGUGGGGUAACGGCCUACCAAGGCGACGAUCAGUAGCCGACCUGAGAGGGUGACCGGCCACAUUGGGACUGAGACACGGCCCAAACUCCUACGGGAGGCAGCAGUGGGGAAUAUUGCACAAUGGGGGAAACCCUGAUGCAGCGACGCCGCGUGAGUGAAGAAGUAUUUCGGUAUGUAAAGCUCUAUCAGCAGGGAAGAAAAUGACGGUACCUGACUAAGAAGCCCCGGCUAACUACGUGCCAGCAGCCGCGGUAAUACGUAGGGGGCAAGCGUUAUCCGGAUUUACUGGGUGUAAAGGGAGCGUAGACGGUAAAGCAAGUCUGAAGUGAAAGCCCGGGGCUCAACCCCGGGACUGCUUUGGAAACUGUUUAACUAGAGUGCUGGAGAGGUAAGCGGAAUUCCUAGUGUAGCGGUGAAAUGCGUAGAUAUUAGGAGGAACACCAGUGGCGAAGGCGGCUUACUGGACAGUAACUGACGUUGAGGCUCGAAAGCGUGGGGAGCCAACAGGAUUAGAUACUCUGGUAGUCCACGCCGUAAACGAUGAAUAGUAGGUGUUGGCGGGCAAAGCCUGUCGGUGCCGCCGCAAACGCAUUAAGUAUUACACCUGGGGAGUACGUUCGCAAGAAUGAAACUCAAAGGAAUUGACGGGGACCCGCACAAGCGGUGGAGCAUGUGGUAUAAUUCGAAGCUACGCGAAGAACCUUACCAAGUAUUGACAUAGAUCGGACCGGUCUUCAACAGGACCUUCCUUUCGGGGCGGAGAAGACAGGUGGUGCGAUGGUUGUCGUCAGCUCGCGUCGUGAGAUGAUGGGGUAAGUCCCGCAAUGAGCGCAACCCCUAUCAUAUGUAGCCAGCAGGUGAAGAUGGGCACUCAUGGGAGACUGUCAGGGAUAAACUGGAGGAAGGUGGGGAUGACGUCAUAUCAUCAUGCCCGUUAUGAUCUGGGUUACACACGUGAUACAAUGGUGUAAACAAAGAGAAGCUGAUAUCCGCGAGGAUGGAGCAAAUAGUCAGAGAUAAGCGUAUCAACUCGGAAUGCAGGCUGCAACUAGCCUGCAAGAAGUUGGUAUCGAUAGUUAUGAGAGAAUCAGAAUGUCGCGGAGAAUACGGUCACCGGGUCCUGUACACACCGCCAGUCA
RNAcentral lists this ribosomal RNA (1391 nucleotides) under uncultured bacterium. RNAcentral describes it as "16S ribosomal RNA". It matches the Rfam family "Bacterial small subunit ribosomal RNA". The record is from RNAcentral.